RNAcentral lists this transfer RNA (88 nucleotides) under bacterium (Candidatus Gribaldobacteria) CG07_land_8_20_14_0_80_33_18. RNAcentral's name for it is "tRNA-Ser". It matches the Rfam family "tRNA". Rfam says of the family: Transfer RNA (tRNA) molecules are approximately 80 nucleotides in length. Lineage: Bacteria; Candidatus Gribaldobacteria. The record is from RNAcentral.
GGAGGAGUCGCAUAGUGGCCGAGUGCGUCCGCUUGGAGAGCGGAUAUACCGAAAGGUAUCGUGGGUUCGAAUCCCACCUCCUCCGCCA